This 1178-nucleotide ribosomal RNA is filed under the name Lenzitopsis oxycedri. Its description in RNAcentral is "SSU rRNA". It matches the Rfam family "Eukaryotic small subunit ribosomal RNA", at positions 82 to 1265 of the family's 1831-position model. The record is from RNAcentral. Lineage: Eukaryota; Fungi; Basidiomycota; Agaricomycetes; Thelephorales; Thelephoraceae.
GUGAACUGCGAACGGCUCAUUAAAUCAGUUAUAGUUUAUUUGAUGGUACCUUGCUACAUGGAUAACUGUGGUAAUUCUAGAGCUAAUACAUGCGAUCAAGCCCCGACUUCUGGAAGGGGUGUAUUUAUUAGAUAAAAAACCAACGCGGUUCGCCGCUCCAUUGGUGAUUCAUAAUAACUUCUCGAAUCGCACGGCCUUGCGCUGGCGAUGCUUCAUUCAAAUAUCUGCCCUAUCAACUUUCGAUGGUAGGAUAGUGGCCUACCAUGGUUUCAACGGGUAACGGGGAAUAAGGGUUCGAUUCCGGAGAGGGAGCCUGAGAAACGGCUACCACAUCCAAGGAAGGCAGCAGGCGCGCAAAUUACCCAAUCCCGACACGGGGAGGUAGUGACAAUAAAUAACAAUAUAGGGCUCUUUCGGGUCUUAUAAUUGGAAUGAGUACAAUUUAAAUCCCUUAACGAGGAACGAUUGGAGGGCAAGUCUGGUGCCAGCAGCCGCGGUAAUUCCAGCUCCAAUAGCGUAUAUUAAAGUUGUUGCAGUUAAAAAGCUCGUAGUUGAACUUCAGGCCUGGCCGGAUGGUCUGCCUCACGGUAUGUACUGUUUGGCUGGGCCUUACCUCUUGGUGAGCCGGCAUGCCCUUCGCUGGGUGUGUCGGGGAACCAGGACUUUUACCUUGAGAAAAUUAGAGUGUUCAAAGCAGGCUUACGCCCGAAUACAUUAGCAUGGAAUAAUAAAAUAGGACGUGCGGUUCUAUUUUGUUGGUUUCUAGAGUCGCCGUAAUGAUUAAUAGGGAUAGUUGGGGGCAUUAGUAUUCAGUUGCUAGAGGUGAAAUUCUUGGAUUUACUGAAGACUAACUACUGCGAAAGCAUUUGCCAAGGAUGUUUUCAUUAAUCAAGAACGAAGGUUAGGGGAUCGAAAACGAUCAGAUACCGUUGUAGUCUUAACAGUAAACUAUGCCGACUAGGGAUCGGGCGAACUCAAUCUUAUGUGUCGCUCGGCACCUUACGAGAAAUCAAAGUCUUUGGGUUCUGGGGGGGAGUAUGGUCGCAAGGCUGAAACUUAAAGGAAUUGACGGAAGGGCACCACCAGGAGUGGAGCCUGCGGCUUAAUUUGACUCAACACGGGGAAACUCACCAGGUCCAGACAUGACUAGGAUUGACAGAUUGAUAGCUCUUUCAUGA